RNAcentral lists this ribosomal RNA (779 nucleotides) under uncultured Neocallimastigales. RNAcentral describes it as "partial large subunit ribosomal RNA". It matches the Rfam family "Eukaryotic large subunit ribosomal RNA", at positions 23 to 631 of the family's 3401-position model. Lineage: Eukaryota; Fungi; Neocallimastigomycota; Neocallimastigomycetes; Neocallimastigales. The record is from RNAcentral.
AGAGAUGUGUGAUGACGCAUAUCAAUAAGCGGAGGAAAAGAAACUAACAAGGAUUCCCUUAGUAACGGCGAGUGAAGCGGGAAGAGCUCAAAUUUGAAAUCUUCAAGGUUCUACCUUGACGAAUUGUAGUUUAAUAGAAGUGUUUUCUGUUAGUAGAGGUGGCUAAAAGUUCUUUGGAAUAGGACAUCAUAGAGGGUGAGAAUCCCGUAUUUGGUCAUUCCUCCUAGCGUUGUGAUACACUUUCAACGAGUCGGAUUGUUUGGGAAUGCAGUCCAAAGUGGGUGGUAAAUUUCAUCUAAAGCUAAAUAUUGGCGAGAGACCGAUAGCGAACAAGUACCGUGAGGGAAAGAUGAAAAGAACUUUGAAAAGAGAGUUAAACAGUACGUGAAAUUGUCAAAAGGGAAGCGUUUGACACCAGUGUUGUUUUUCCGAAAAUCAAUUACGAAUGUUUUAUUUUUGAGGAGUUAUGACUUCAUCGGCUUGCUCCUUUCUUUAUGAAACUUUCUUAAUGCACUUUUCGGUUAACAAGUCAACAUCAAUUUCUUUUGUUGUAAAAGGGUAUGAGGAAGGUGGCUUUCUUUUCGGAGAAAGUGUUUAUAGCCUUGUGCUUCUGCAAUCGGAGAGAUUGAGGUCUGCAGCGUAGAUCCUUCGGGGUUAGAUACAGUUUGUGCUAAGUUAUAGCUUUUCAUAGACAACUUGUUGACUUAUGUUUAGUCUUGUAGCUUACUCGCUUAUGCUAUUUUACCUACGCUUAGGAUGUUGAGUCGUAGAGCACGCAG